GACGAACGCUGGCGGCGUGCCUAACACAUGCAAGUCAACUUGACUGAAGGAGCAAUCUGACGGUAGAGUGGCGCAAGGGUGCGUAACGCGUAAGUAACUUGCCCAAGGUAAGGAAUAACGUCGAGAAAUCGGCGCUAAUACCUCAUAAUGCAGCGGAUCCGCAUGGAUAUGUUGUUAAAGGUUUACCGCCUUGGGAUAGGCUUGCGUCUGAUUAGCUAGUUGGUGUGGUAACGGCACACCAAGGCUACGAUCAGUAACUGGUCUGAGAGGAUGAUCAGUCACACUGGAACUGAGACACGGUCCAGACUCCUACGGGAGGCAGCAGUGAGGAAUAUUGGGCAAUGCUCGAAAGAGUGACCCAGCAACGCCGCGUGGAGGAUGAAGGUAUUCUAUAUCGUAAACUCCUGUGAGAGCAGACGAAAGACAGAAUUAUUAAUCUGGAUGACUGUAUGCUCAGAGGAAGCCCCGGCUAACUACGUCG
This 481-nucleotide ribosomal RNA is filed under the name uncultured bacterium. Its description in RNAcentral is "bacterial SSU rRNA". It matches the Rfam family "Bacterial small subunit ribosomal RNA", at positions 28 to 508 of the family's 1533-position model. The record is from RNAcentral.